Molecule: ribosomal RNA, 494 nt
Filed under: uncultured bacterium
Lineage: Bacteria
Description: bacterial SSU rRNA
Rfam family: Bacterial small subunit ribosomal RNA
Source: RNAcentral
GACGAACGCUGGCGGCGUGCUUAAUACAUGCAAGUCAACUUGACUUUAGAUAGCAAUAUCGAAAAGUAGGGUGGCGCACGGGUGCGUAACGCGUAGGUAAUCUGCCCUGAGGUCUGACAUAACCCGUCGAAAGGCGGGCUAACAUCAGAUGAUAUAUAAUCACGACAUCGUGGAAAUAUCAAAUCUUUGGAGCCUUGGGAUGAGCCUGCGUCUGAUUAGGUAGUUGGCGGAGUAAUAGCCCACCAAGCCUACGAUCAGUAGCUGGUCUGAGAGGAUGAUCAGCCACACUGGAACUGAGACACGGUCCAGACUCCUACGGGAGGCAGCAGUAAGGAAUAUUGCUCAAUGGGGGAAACCCUGAAGCAGCAAACGCCGCGUGAAGGAUGAAAUACUUUGUAUGUAAACUUCUGUAAGAUAGGGAAAAUAUUCUACCUCGGGAGAAUUGAUUGUACCUGUAAGAAAGCCCCGGACUAACUACGUAGCCAGCAGCCGAC